RNAcentral lists this transfer RNA (83 nucleotides) under Promethearchaeota archaeon. Its description in RNAcentral is "Candidatus Lokiarchaeota archaeon tRNA-Ser". It matches the Rfam family "tRNA". Rfam says of the family: Transfer RNA (tRNA) molecules are approximately 80 nucleotides in length. RNAcentral also lists the same sequence under 1 other name. Lineage: Archaea; Promethearchaeati; Promethearchaeota. The record is from RNAcentral.
GCAGCUGUAGCCUAGAUGGUAAGACGCCGGCCUCGAGAGCCGGUGCGCGUUAGCGCUCGGGGGUUCGAAUCCCUCCAGCUGCG